Molecule: ribosomal RNA, 80 nt
Filed under: Staphylococcus aureus
Lineage: Bacteria; Bacillati; Bacillota; Bacilli; Caryophanales; Staphylococcaceae
Also listed under: 11 other names
Source: RNAcentral
UGGUGACUAUAGCAAGGAGGUCACACCUGUUCCCAUGCCGAACACAGAAGUUAAGCUCCUUAGCGUCGAUGGUAGUCGAA